CGGGUAACCUGCCCCAGACUCAGGGAUAACCCCGGGAAACCGGGGCUAAUACCCGAUACUCCGAUCGAACCACAUGGCUCGAUCGGGAAAGCUCCGACGGUCUGGGAUGGGCCCGCGGCCUAUCAGCUUGUUGGUGGGGUAACGGCCUACCAAGGCGACGACGGGUAGCUGGUCUGAGAGGACGACCAGCCACACUGGAACUGAGAUACGGUCCAGACUCCUACGGGAG
This 229-nucleotide ribosomal RNA is filed under the name uncultured bacterium. RNAcentral describes it as "partial 16S ribosomal RNA". It matches the Rfam family "Bacterial small subunit ribosomal RNA", at positions 118 to 347 of the family's 1533-position model. The record is from RNAcentral.